Molecule: ribosomal RNA, 500 nt
Filed under: uncultured bacterium
Lineage: Bacteria
Description: partial 16S ribosomal RNA
Rfam family: Bacterial small subunit ribosomal RNA
Source: RNAcentral
AUUGAACGCUGGCGGCAUGCUUUACACAUGCAAGUCGAACGGUAACAGGGUGCUUGCACCGCUGACGAGUGGCGAACGGGUGAGUACUGCGUCGGAACGUGCCGAGUAGUGGGGGAUAACGCAGCGAAAGUUGUGCUAAUACCGCAUACGUACUGAGGUAGAAAGUGGGGGACCUUCGGGCCUCACGCUAUUCGAGCGGCCGACGUCUGAUUAGCUAGUAGGUGGGGUAAAGGCUCACCUAGGCGACGAUCAGUAGCGGGUCUGAGAGGAUGAUCCGCCACACUGGGACUGAGACACGGCCCAGACUCCUACGGGAGGCAGCAGUGGGGAAUUUUGGACAAUGGGCGAAAGCCUGAUCCAACCAUGCCGCGUGUCUGAAGAAGGCCUUCGGGUUGUAAAGGACUUUUGUCAGGGAGGAAAUCCCUAGUGCUAAUAACACUGGGGGAUGACAGUACCUGAAGAAUAAGCACCGGCUAACUACGUGCCAGCAGCCGCCGCCG